AGUCAAGAACGGGUGUGAGAGUGGAAAGUUCACACUGUGACGGUAGCUUACCAGAAAGGGACGGCUAACUACGUGCCAGCAGCCGCGGUAAUACGUAGGUCCCGAGCGUUGUCCGGAUUUAUUGGGCGUAAAGCGAGCGCAGGCGGUUUGAUAAGUCUGAAGUUAAAGGCUGUGGCUCAACCAUAGUUCGCUUUGGAAACUGUCAAACUUGAGUGCAGAAGGGGAGAGUGGAAUUCCAUGUGUAGCGGUGAAAUGCGUAGAUAUAUGGAGGAACACCGGUGGCGAAAGCGGCUCUCUGGUCUGUAACUGACGCUGAGGCUCGAAAGCGUGGGGAGCGAACA
RNAcentral lists this ribosomal RNA (341 nucleotides) under Streptococcus thermophilus. RNAcentral's name for it is "bacterial SSU rRNA". It matches the Rfam family "Bacterial small subunit ribosomal RNA", at positions 441 to 774 of the family's 1533-position model. Lineage: Bacteria; Bacillati; Bacillota; Bacilli; Lactobacillales; Streptococcaceae. The record is from RNAcentral.